AUUGAACGCUGGCGGCAUGCCUUACACAUGCAAGUCGAACGGCAGCACGGGGCAACCUGGUGGCGAGUGGCGAACGGGUGAGUAAUGCAUCGGAACGUACCUUUCAGUGGGGGAUAACGUAGCGAAAGUUACGCUAAUACCGCAUAUUCUGUGAGCAGGAAAGCAGGGGAUCGCAAGACCUUGCGCUGAUUGAGCGGCCGAUGUCAGAUUAGCUAGUUGGUGAGGUAAAGGCUCACCAAGGCGACGAUCUGUAGCGGGUCUGAGAGGAUGAUCCGCCACACGAGAAGUGAGACACGGUCCAGACUCCUACGGGAGGAAGCAGCGGGGAAUUUUGGACAAUGGGGGCAACCCUGAUCCAGCCAUUCCGCGUGAGUGAAGAAGGCCUUCGGGUUGUAAAGCUCUUUCGGCAGGAACGAAACGGUGGCCCCUAAUACGGGUUGCUAAUGACGGUACCUGAAGAAGAAGCACCGGCUAACUACGUGCCAGCAGCCGCCGUAA
RNAcentral lists this ribosomal RNA (498 nucleotides) under uncultured bacterium. RNAcentral's name for it is "partial 16S ribosomal RNA". It matches the Rfam family "Bacterial small subunit ribosomal RNA", at positions 30 to 523 of the family's 1533-position model. The record is from RNAcentral.